UGCCUGCCUUGGCCUCCCAAAGUGCUGGGAUUACAGGCAUGAGCCACCGCCCCUGGCUUCGCACACCUUUUUCCUUUGUGUCUGGGGGGCGAGAGGGAUCAGCUGUGGACACUAGGAUGGGUGUUGGGAUUCAAAGACCCCCAAGUAACCUGGAGCUCCCCUAAAAGCCACCACAAGCUUCACAGCUGGGUAUUUAAAGUGGAUGAUUGGAUGAAUCAUUUUCAGGUGCACAGCUUGGGGGUGUUUAGACAUUCAUGGUGUUGCGUAACCACGACCUCCAGGGGUGAGGGUGGGUAAGAUUUUAAAAAUAAAAUACAUAAUCUCUAACUAUAAAAGGGAGAUGUUUCAACGUGAAGAUUGAAGGGUAAAUUUGAGCAGUUGUUUUGGAAAAAAUUAGGCUCAUUUGUAAAGUUCAACAUCCACAGGCUCCAAAGCCCAACGUACCCCAGGACACAGAUUGUGCAAAUGCCAGAGAUGCCCCAAAGUUCCAGAUAGCAAAUGGAGACCCCUGACUCCAUCCCUGGCAAACCUAACACCUGCUUAGAGAGAAGAAUUCGGCACAGGGCAAUAUAGAAGGAAAUAGCAACCGUCCCACUGCCUGGUUGCCCCGUGAUGUCUUUCUUUCCCAGGAUGUAACUCAGGGCCCACAGCUGUGUAUGCCAGGUGCGGGGACAGGGCUGGCUGUGGCCACACGUGAGCUGGUGAUCCCUACCUGCUUCCUCCAGCUCCAGGCGUUUUCUAAGCACCAGCUUAUGCGACAGGAAUGACCAUGCAUCAGAACUUGGUUCUUUCCUGGGCUGAACGUGGGGCGGGGGUGCGGGGAGGGAACAAGGAUGUCACAGGACAUCUCAGCACGCAAAGGGCCUGUGGGCGAGGGUUGGGAGGUGAGUGUGGGACCCUGGUGUCCCCACGUGCUGCAGGCAGAUUCUUGCUACAGCCACCUCCAGGGGUGCUCCUGGCAGCCUCACUUCUGUCUCAGUUCCCUGGGUCCAGCCAAGAGUGUGCUGGGGUCCCUGGCCGUGGCAGGCAGUGGGGCGUGGGGAUCAGCCACGUGAAGAUCUGGGGCCAGCGGCCCAGGCCGAGGCCAUGGCAGUGCAAAAGUCCUGGGGUGAGACCAGGCAGAGCUGGGGGUGAGGCGGAUCAUGGUUAGGGGUCAUCAGAGGGGGGCACUUUGCACCCUUGGGCUCAGUGUUCUUUCCUUCCAAAAGUACCUGUCCAGUGUUGGGUGGCAGGUCCAGGCAGGCAGCAGAGAACAUGGGAGAAAGAGUCCCCACCCUCGGAGGCUUCUUUCACGUCCACGCUGGGAGAGAAUGACAAAUGCAGGAAGGGCAGGAGCAGGAUUGGGAGGGAAACUGAGGCAGGCUGGGGAUGGGGUGCCAGGUUGGGUUGGGGGUUAUUUUACACGGAUGAUGGAGCCGCUCUGCUGGGUGAUGUUCCUGCAGGAAGGAGGAAAUGAGCCAGGCGGAUGCAGGGAGGGGGCUCUUCUGGACUCAGAGGAGCAUCCUGAGGCUUCACCAUGAAAGUCAGAGUUGUGAGUGGGUGGAUGGGAACUCGGACAUGAGGAUGGAUGGGGGAAGGCUGGAGGAGCAGGACCCGGGGAGCUGGCAUCGAGGGCUCUUUCCUGGGGGUCUUUCUUCUGCACCAGCUCGAUGCCCUGGGGAGCAGAGCUUGUCUCACCCCACCCUCUUUUCCAUCCCUGUCUGCAGGCACCUGGGGCCCCUUCCUCCCUCUCAGACCCCACCCACCCUAUCUUCUUCCCUUCCUCAGCUGCUCAGCCUCCUGCUCUGUCACGUCGGCUCCCACACACAGCGGGACCAAAACUCCCAUCUUCCUCUGGAAAUCUCUCCUCCCAGAGCCCCUACGCUGGCCUGGGGGCGCUGUCUGCCUGGGUGGCCGCUGGGGGCUCUGAGCAACGUCCUGCACCUCCUUCCUGCCUGGCAGGGUGCCUGGCACAAGGUCGGCCUCAGUGAAAUGUGGGCUGAGUGAGUUCGUAAAGAUGACCCUGGGUGCCCCGGGUCCUAAGUUGUGAGAGUCAUGGCUGCUGUAGACGGGAGCCUUUGGGGCUGUCCCUCCAUGCAGGCGUCCCCCACCUACAGCUCCUCUCCCAGCAGCUGCACCUGGCCUCCGUGGGCUUCCCUUCUCUCGACAUCCACUCUCCUGCCUUUGAGGACUGGCUCCAGGACCCCAUCCUCGGUGGUGGGGGCGCAUUCCAUGACAGACGAGACAGCCUGGCCUGUCCGGGAUGGGGUGCAGGGAUCUUGUCUUUGACCCUGGCUCGUCUGCUUUGCCAGCGCCCAGGAUUUCCCACUGUGGCCCCACUGUAAUCAUGGA
Molecule: long non-coding RNA, 2331 nt
Filed under: Homo sapiens (human)
Lineage: Eukaryota; Metazoa; Chordata; Mammalia; Primates; Hominidae
Description: non-protein coding lnc-C9orf116-6:1
Source: RNAcentral